GCCUACGGGAGGCAGCAGUAGGGAAUCUUCCACAAUGGGCGAAAGCCUGAUGCAGCGACGCCGCGUGGGUGAAGAAGCGCCUCGGCGCGUAAGGCCCUGUCAGCAGGGAAGAAAAUGACGGUACCUGAAGAAGAAGCCCCGGCUAACUACGUGCCAGCAGCCGCGGUAAUACGUAGGGGGCAAGCGUUAUCCGGAUUUACUGGGUGUAAAGGGGGCGCAGACGGCGAUGCAAGCCAGGAGUGAAAGCCCGGGGCCCAACCCCGGGACUGCUCUUGGAACUGCGUGGCUGGAGUGCAGGAGGGGCG
This 305-nucleotide ribosomal RNA is filed under the name uncultured bacterium. Its description in RNAcentral is "bacterial SSU rRNA". It matches the Rfam family "Bacterial small subunit ribosomal RNA", at positions 337 to 659 of the family's 1533-position model. The record is from RNAcentral.